Long non-coding RNA from Scatophagus argus, 648 nucleotides. RefSeq lists it as uncharacterized. The transcript has 3 exons. Lineage: Eukaryota; Metazoa; Chordata; Actinopteri; Scatophagidae. The record is from RefSeq and is a predicted model, not a curated record.
CUAACAGCUAGCUUAAGUGAGUUCAGGACGUCUUUAUGGCAGAACUAACCGUGGUUGCGCCUUGAUCAUACCAGGUGUGCUGCGUUCUCAGCUGGGGUGGGCUCAAAAGUUUUCCAGACUGCGAAGGCUCAGGAUUAUCUCUAUUAGCAGUUACUCUUCGUUGAGCUUCUGGGUCGCCACGUCAACAAGAUGGAGACUGAGGAGAAAUGAAGUUACCCAAAUGAGAUGCUGGGGUGAGGAAGUUUCCAGGAUGAUGAGGUGGAUGACCAAAAGGACCUGCUGAUGGGUGUGUGGGUCCUGAGGAGAGACAGAAGAGAUCUGACACACACUCACCUGCAGCAGAGAAGAGUGUGGAGGGCCGUGCCAAGUCGUUGGGGUGAUGGAUGGCGCCGAAGAGGCUGGGGCCAGGAGGUCGACCCAGGAACUCAGGCUUAAGGCCAAAAUCUAGCUUGUGAGGGUCGACCUGCAUCUGCUGCUGGAAGACGCCAGACCGACAGAGAGCAACACAUGUAAAACCCUUUUACACAAGGUGUGCUGUGAGUGAGUGACUACUGAAUUACCCUCCAAGAAAAGGACACUACUUACUCAUAACUUCAAAAAGUGAUUAUGACUGCUGAAUCCAUACAAUUAAAGCUACUAUAUAUUGUA